CCAUCGCCGUACAGUCAGACUGCUUUCAGAGAGCGCGGAAGACGCCGAGAGAUCAUUUUGAGUUAUUUUCCCAAGUAUAUAAAAAGGGUUCAGCUACAGUCCCGUGAGAGCGUUCAAUGUAGUAGUGUAACGGCGAAAGUUAAGGAAAGGUAAUUGCAAUCGUUUUGCAAGAUCGCUGCGAUCCAACCAGGGAAAGGAUAAGUGCUCCUUUCUACAUCGCAUUUUGGGCCGAAGAACUGUUGGGUGGACAGGCUGUUUCAGUGAGAAGCUUGUAUGAAGUUUGCGCAGGUGAAUUGGCCAGGAAUCAGCAAAGUACCCAUGACGCAUUGUUAAGCCGUUUUUAAGUACCAUAGGCUACUACUUGUAUUUAUUUAAUUUUUAUUAUUAUUUUUUUUGUACGAGAAAUCCAUGUUAUUUUGCCCUUUCAAAUAUGAAAUGACAGCAUCGCUGGGAUAAGAUGUCCGUGGAAACAAACCUGCCCGUCAAAGGUGCUUCACCUGCAGUUAGCAGCUGCGAGCAGGAAAACUUACAAGUUAGCAUGACAAAAUAACCUACUUGAAAAAUACUUUUUUAUCCAUAUUUGGACCACAGAGCCACGCUGAGAUGAAUAUUACGAGGAAUAGAAGUCACCACGUGAUGUUUUUUACUCGUGCCUUGCAAGCCCUAAUUUUGUUCGAGAGCACGCUACAAAUUACGAUAAAAUUCACCCUUUCUCAAACGCUGGCAAUUCCCAGUAGCAGCCCUCUUGGAUUACUACAGGACAAUGGUUUCGGAACACUUUCGCCAGCGGAAAGUCACCAGAACUCAACGUGGAAAGAGCCAACUGCCGAAAAGUUUCAUUCCGGGAAUGGCACCACACGAAGAGCUCUUCCUUUUCAUAAACACCACCACCAAGAUCAGAAUGGUGAGCCACUGGAGAGAACCAGACCAUUUGUCAUAGUGGAUGGACACAGACAAAAAUUGAGUAAGGCCCUACAGAAUGGCCACCCAGACAAGCUGAUGUGUGAGCUGCAAGUUGGAGGCACCCUCUACCUGCUGGACCUGGAGAAAAAUCAUGAUCUGAUGCCCAAGCCUCCCAAUGUGUUUUACUACCUUCCCAAUGGUACUGGGGUCUCGCUGGAGGACCGUCUGCUCGUACACUGCUACUACCAUGGCUCAGUGAGGGGGUACCCUGAAUCUCGAGUGGCCCUAAGUACCUGCUCGGGGUUACGGGGGGUGAUUGUGAUCAAUGCGAUGGUGGGCUUUGAGUUGCUACCUGAGGAGAAGGCGAAAGCAAAGGGCUGGAAGAAGAGUGGGGGAGAGGAAGAGGAGGAGGGGAUGCACCUGCUUUACCCCUCCCACCGGCUGGAGUCUCGGACCGGGGGCUGUGGGGUGUCCCACACUCAGGUGCCCCCUCUGUCUGCCGUGCCCCACGUGCACCGGAGUAAGAGAGACAUUCUGUCUGAGACGAAGUACAUUGAGCUGGUGCUGGUGGUUGAUCAUAAAGAGUACAUCAACUAUCAGAAGAACAACAAGACCAUCAUCUAUCGCAUGUUGGAUGUGGCCAACCAAGUGGACUGGUUUUACAGACCUCUCAAUGUACGUGUGGCUCUGGUGGGCCUGGAGAUCUGGAGUGACCAGGACAAGAUCCAGGUGGACAAGAACCCCACGGAGACGCUCAACCGCUUCCUGGAGUGGCGCACCAGCAAGCUGCUGUCCCGCCUGCGUCAUGACAACGCCCAGCUCAUCAUGGGGGACUCGUUUGACGGGACCACAGUGGGGAUGGCGUCCCAGUCCUCCAUGUGCUCCAAGGACCGGUCAGGUGGCGUUAACGUGGACCACCUGGUGAGCGUGCUGGGCGUGGCCUCCACGGUGGCCCACGAGCUGGGACACAACCUGGGCAUGAGCCACGACACGGCCGCGCGGCGCUGCCAGUGCCAGAACGAACCGCGGCUGGGCGGCUGCAUCAUGGAGGCCUCCACCGGGUUCAUGCCAGGCCAGCUGUUCAGCAGCUGCAGCGCGCGGGACCUGUCCCUCAGCCUGCUCCACGGAGGGGGGAUGUGCCUGUUCAACGUGCCCCAGCCGGAGAAGCUCCUCGGGGGGCCUCGCUGUGGGAACCUGUACGUGGAGAAGGGAGAGGAGUGCGACUGUGGUCUGGUGGAUGAGUGCAACGAUCCCUGCUGCAACGCCAGCACCUGCAGACUGGUUCCGGGCGCGCAGUGUUCCUCUGACGGUAUUUGCUGCAACAACUGCAAGCUGCGGCCCGCAGGCUGGGUGUGCAGGGACCCCCUGGGGGAGUGCGACCUCCCGGAGCACUGCACCGGGGCCUCCCCCUACUGCCCCGCCAACGUCUUCCUCCAGAACGGGGCGUCCUGCCAGGAGGGAGAGUCCUACUGCUACAGUGGGAUCUGCGCCAGCCUGGACUCCCAGUGCCAGAUGCUGUGGGGGCCCAACUCCACCAAGGGUCCUGACGUUUGCUUCUCCUCCGUCAACAAGCAGGGCAGUAAGAACGGCAACUGUGGCCAGACGCCAAACGGAACGUACAUUCCUUGUUCUGCUGCAGAUGUGCUGUGUGGGAAGAUCCAGUGUCAGGGGGGAAGUGAGCGCCCCCUGUUGGGCUCCAGCGCGCAGAUCCUCACCACCAAGGUGCGUGUGAACUACACCGACCUGGUCUGCCGCGGCACCUAUUUGGACCUGGGGGACGACGUCUCUGACCCCGCCAUGGUUUCCCAGGGGGCUGCCUGUGGGGCUGGCAAGGCUUGUGUGAGCCAGCGGUGCCAGGACGUGUCAGUGUUCGGAGUGGAGGACUGUCAGAGGAAGUGCAGUGGGCAUGGGGUCUGCAACAGCAAUAAGAACUGCCACUGUGACGCGGGCUGGGCCCCUCCGGACUGCAUGUACUCCGGCCACGGGGGCAGUGUGGACAGCGGACCGGCCAGGGACCCCAAAGAAUCUGACCCCGUGCGUGUGGCCCUCCUGGUCACCUUCCUCUUCGUCCUGCCUGCGGUGCUGCUCUUCCUCGCCCUGCGCUACCCCCGCUGCCGGCGAAAGCUCUCCUGCCUGCGGGGCAGCCCCUUCCACAAGGGCCCCAGCAGCCGCCAACAGAGCCGGACCCCAGCGACGGAGCGGGUGGACUCCCGGAACGGAGAACAGGUCCAGCCGCUGAGGUACCACUGCACCAACCAAACUGAGAUCCCGCUGACCCCGCCGUCAGACAAGGUUCUGGACAGGCCUGCGCCUCCUAUUAAGCCCCUCCCACCCGACCCGGUGAUAAAACACACGCAGUUGGCAGGGGAGCGGCCAGCCCCUCCCAACAAGCCUCUCCCCCCUGACCCCAUUCCCACUGGCACCAAGCCGAUGGGGGACCGACCAGCACCUCCAAACAAGCCUCUUCCUCCUGACCCUGUCCUCGCAGACAGACAGGUACCAGGGUGGUGGAAGAGUGGGGGGUGGUGGGGCCUUCAGGCCGACCAAACCACCCGUGCCCAGGAAACCCUUGCCUGCUGACCCGUCAUCACAUCCUGUCCCAGGAGUCGCACCAUCGCGCUCCACCUCUGGAGUCCCUGUGCAACCUGGAGCCAGUGUAUCUUCACUUCCGACUUAUGGCCCACGAGUCGCUGUUGUCCCAGCCAGACGUGCUCCUCUUCCACCAGUGCGGAUGGCAGAGUCCAGUAAACCCCAUGCACCGCCCCCGGUUUAAGCAGCUGGGAUUUCUGUGAGCUGGAUCACACUCCAUUGAACUGCACUGAUCCUGCAGGAGGGAUCUGCUCUGAGCUUUUCAACCACACACAACCUGGCUGGAGAGCUCCUCCACACCUCCAGCUCUAACUAUGCUGCAAUCCAUCCAUCCCCUUUUUCCUGAAGUCCUUCUUCCCUAGCACAAAGACGCUCAGUCCAGCAGCAGUGCCUAGGCACUUUUUGCUGAGUCACGGCUUGGGACAGAACCUGAAGAGAGCCAGUUAACGUCUUCCGGCAGCCAGAGAUGCCUUUGUACCAUGAUUGCAAAUCAGUCACCUGGGAAAUCUGCAUGAGUUUCUACAUACGACUGGCAGGACGCUCAGUUUGGAAAAGACCUUCAGACUGCAAGAAUGUGCAUAAUGUAGGAAAUGGCAAAAUGGACUACAGCUAUGACUGCUUUGUGCACACUGGAAUGAUAGCACUGGAACCUAUACUCAACACCUAUUUUCCAUGUUUCUGGAUUAGGUGUAUGAGUGUGUGGAUAGAGAGGUAAGCACCAGUGAUUGACAGUUACCUCUCCAUCCUUUCAGAAUUUGUGAUCUUUGCACAGGGAUUCGGCGGUUGUUUUGUACUCCACCUUUACGAGAACCAUGACCCUCACCUCACUUUCUUCCAUAACCCACUAAAUCCUGGGAUGUCAAGAGCUUUAAACCCUCCAUCCUAACAGCCCUCAGUUUGCACUUCAGCUGACAGGGUCAUUGUGUAAUCCAUACAUUUUAAGCCUGGGGGAUAUUUAGUUGAACGCUCUGUUCUGUGUUUGCUGUGAAAAAAAAAAAGAGAGAGAGGAAAACCAGAAAGUGGAAUUAAACAACGGCUCCAGUCAGGAACGUGUGGGAUGUUUUUCAGAAGAUGGUGGAACGCUGUGAGUGUGGACUGAUUUCUUACUGCUGUCGAUUUAUUAUCCCUUAAGAGAUGAGAUCUCACUGAAGGACGUUUACCAGAAGAGGACACGCAUGAAUUCUUCAGCAGGAAGCCACACACAGUCAUAAUGGGAGCCUUUUAUUUAUUCUAGAAUGUGUUUGGAGCCCCCUGGUUAAACCCAGGCCCUAAUGGACAUUUAAUGCACUCCAAGCAUAGGGCUGUGGUUUCAACUCAAGCCAGAGUGACAGUUUCCCAGAAUGUAAAGAAAAUUUUUUAUUUUAAUUUCCUGUGAAAACUAGCUACUAGUCCCAUCUCCUGACUUAAUACAUAUGAUGAGGUAUACAGUAUGAACAUGACUGUUUUCUGUACUUUAUGAAAGCCCAUGUAAGAUGCUGGCCUUGGUGCUUCUGUCAAUUGAAAGAAGUUGAAAAUGUGUUGAUCUGACUGAGCCAUUUAAGGCAGUCCAAAGCAGUGAUGCGUGAAAAAGAUACAAGCUGUUACUGGUAAUGUACUGAAUACUGGAACUGGAACUGAAAGCGAUCUUACAGUAACUGUUUAGAGGUUUUUUUAAAUUUGUUUUGUAGUUUAGUUUGUUUUUUUUAAGUGAAUUUUAACACUAGACCCAUGAGUCCAAUGGACAGUUUUCUACUGAAAUGAAGCCAGUGCACGUUCAUCUGCAGUGAGAGUUUUUCCCUCAUGAGUUUUCUCAU
RNA transcript from Conger conger (European conger), 5285 nucleotides. It is a transcript of the gene named ADAM metallopeptidase domain 15, with no coding region annotated. The transcript is spliced from 25 exons. The record is from RefSeq and is a predicted model, not a curated record. NCBI's taxonomy places the organism in Eukaryota, Metazoa, Chordata, Actinopteri, Anguilliformes, Congridae.